GAUUGAACGCUGGCGGCAUGGCUAAAACAUGCAAGUCGAACGCGAAAGGGGAGCAAUCCCCGAGUAGAGUGGCGAAAGGGUGAGUAAUACGUUUCUACGUGCCUUGAGGUCGAGGAUAGCCAGGGGAAACUCUGGGUAAUACUCGAUGUGGUCGCAAGAUCAAAGAUUUAUUGCCAUGGGAGCGGGGAACGCCCUAUCAGGUAGUUGGUGAGGUAACGGCUCACCAAGCCUAAGACGGGUAGCGGGUGUGAGAGCAUGACCCGCCGCAUCGGGACUGAGACACUGCCCGGACUCCUACGGGAGGCUGCAGUAACGAAUAUUCCGCAAUGCGCGAAAGCGUGACGGAGCAAUGCCGCGUGCAGGAUGAAGCCUUUCGGGGUGUAAACUGCUGUCAGGGUACAGGAACACAAUGACCAUACCCAAAGGAAGGGCCGGCUAACUUCGUGCCAGCAGCCGCGGUAAUACGAAGGGCCCGAGCGUUAAUCGGAAUUACUGGGCUUAAAGCGUACGUAGGCGGAUGCGCAGGCAUCAUGUGAAAUCCCUCGGCUCAACCGAGGAACUGCAUGGUGAACCGCGUGUCUUGAGGCAAGUAGGGGCUGUCGGAACGCUAGGUGGAGUGGUGAAAUGCGUUGAUAUCUAGCGGAACGCCAAAGGAGUAAUCAGGCAGCUGGGCUUGUCCUGACGCUGAGGUACGAAAGCGUGGGGAGCGAACGGGAUUAGAUACCCCGGUAGUCCACGCCGUAAACGAUGUGCACUAGAUCGAGGAGGUUCUGACACCAUUCUCGGUCGAAGCGAAAGUGUUAAGUGCACCGCCUGGGGAGUACGGUCGCAAGGCUAAAACUCAAAGGAAUUGACGGGGGCUCACACAAGCGGUGGAGCAUGUGGCUUAAUUCGAAGCAACGCGAAGAACCUUAUCCUGGGUUUGACAUGCAUGGAUUAACCGGUGGAAACAUCGGUUACAGCCCUUGGGUGGAACAUACACAGGUGCUGCAUGGCCGUCGUCAGCUCGUGCUGUGAAGUGUCGGGUUAAGUCCCUUAACGAGCGCAACCCCUGUCGUUAGUUGCUAACAAGUUAUGUUGAGUACUCUAGCGAGACUGCCGGUGUCAAACCGGAGGAAGGUGGGGAUGACGUCAGGUCCUCAUGGCCCUUAUGCCUAGGGCUGCAAACGUGCUACAAUGGCACGGACAGAGCGAGGCGAUCCCGCAAGGGGGAGCAAAUCGCAAAAACCGUGCCCCAGUUCGGAUAGCAGGCUGCAAUUCGCCUGCUUGAAGUUGGAUCGCUAGUAAUCGCGGAUCAGCUACGCCGCGGUGAAUAUGUUCCUGAGC
RNAcentral lists this ribosomal RNA (1326 nucleotides) under uncultured prokaryote. RNAcentral describes it as "partial 16S ribosomal RNA". It matches the Rfam family "Bacterial small subunit ribosomal RNA", at positions 27 to 1379 of the family's 1533-position model. The record is from RNAcentral.